RNAcentral lists this long non-coding RNA (649 nucleotides) under Androctonus crassicauda. The record is from RNAcentral. Lineage: Eukaryota; Metazoa; Arthropoda; Arachnida; Scorpiones; Buthidae.
UUAUGCUACAUUAAAAUUUGGUUUCUUUGCUGUAGUGCUUGAGUUUUGAAAGUUACAUAGUUAAAGCAAAGUGAAUACCAAGUUCAUUUUUCUCACCCCUAUUCUGUCAGAUGUGUCCAUUUUAGCUUCCAUGACGCAGAUUCAAAUUGACAGACUUUAUAACUGCUCAACUUCCUGUAAGUUCAGCCAUACAAACAGGUGAACAUUUUUGGAACCAACUAUAUCUGUUAGAAUUAACUGCAUCACAUUGCAAACUGCAGCAUCACCUGCCACAAAUGAAAAUAGUUUGGUGAUGGAAUUACUCAUUUUUGCUAUUAAUUAACUAUUAGUAGGGACAAAUUUUUAAUUUGCAGUAUUUUUAAAUUAAUCUUUAAUUCAUACAAUUGAAUCACCAUUUGCACAUUAGGCCAUGCCUGACAGUGCUAUAGUUUGCAAUGUGAUAUGCAUAACUCUAAUAAGUAUAUUCAAUUCUUGUUUAAUUCUCUUACAAAUAGUUAAAAUAUAUUGUACAAAUAAACAAACUAAAAUCAUGGCAAAAACAAUAUGGGUGAAUAAUAUCCAUUCUCAAAAAGUGAUAUUGCUAGUUCAUUUCUGUGAUUUAAGAUCAAAAUUACAAGCCUUUUUUAUUGCUGAGUCCUAUUAUCAAGAG